RNAcentral lists this ribosomal RNA (840 nucleotides) under Mariannaea aquaticola. Its description in RNAcentral is "eukaryotic LSU rRNA". It matches the Rfam family "Eukaryotic large subunit ribosomal RNA", at positions 66 to 938 of the family's 3401-position model. Lineage: Eukaryota; Fungi; Ascomycota; Sordariomycetes; Hypocreales; Nectriaceae. The record is from RNAcentral.
CAACAGGGAUUGCCCUAGUAACGGCGAGUGAAGCGGCAACAGCUCAAAUUUGAAAUCUGGCCCUCGGGUCCGAGUUGUAAUUUGUAGAGGAUGCUUUUGGUGCGGUGCCUUCCGAGUUCCCUGGAACGGGACGCCAUAGAGGGUGAGAGCCCCGUCUGGUUGGACACCAAUCCUCUGUAAAGCUCCUUCGACGAGUCGAGUAGUUUGGGAAUGCUGCUCUAAAUGGGAGGUAUAUGUCUUCUAAAGCUAAAUACCGGCCAGAGACCGAUAGCGCACAAGUAGAGUGAUCGAAAGAUGAAAAGCACUUUGAAAAGAGAGUUAAAAAGUACGUGAAAUUGUUGAAAGGGAAGCGCUUAUGACCAGACUUGGGCUUGGUAGAUCAACCUGGGUUCUCCCUGGUGCACUCUUCCUCGUCCAGGCCAGCAUCAGUUCGCUGCGGGGGAUAAAGGUUUCGGGAAUGUGGCUCCCUCGGGAGUGUUAUAGCCCGUUGCGUAAUACCCUGCGGUGGACUGAGGUUCGCGUUCUGCAAGGAUGCUGGCGUAAUGGUCAUCAGCGACCCGUCUUGAAACACGGACCAAGGAGUCGUCUUCGUAUGCGAGUGUUCGGGUGUUAAACCCCUACGCGUAAUGAAAGUGAACGCAGGUGAGAGCUUCGGCGCAUCAUCGACCGAUCCUGAUGUUCUCGGAUGGAUUUGAGUAAGAGCAUACGGGGCCGGACCCGAAAGAAGGUGAACUAUGCCUGUAUAGGGUGAAGCCAGAGGAAACUCUGGUGGAGGCUCGCAGCGGUUCUGACGUGCAAAUCGAUCGUCAAAUAUGGGCAUGGGGGCGAAAGACUAAUCGA